CGGUGGAUGAUGUGGAUUAAUUCGAUGCAACGCGAAAACCUUACCUACCUUGACAUGUCCGGAAUCCCGAAGAGAUUUGGAGUGCUCGCAAGAGAGCCGGAACACAGGUGCUGCAUGGCUGUCGUCAGCUCGUGUCGUGAGAUGUUGGGUUAAGUCCCGCAACGAGCGCAACCCUUGUCAUUAGUUGCCAUCAUUUGGUUGGGCACUCUAAUGAGACUGCCGGUGACAAACCGGAGGAAGUGGGGAUGACGUCAAGUCCUCAUGGCCCUUAUGGGUAGGGCUUCACACGUCAUACAAUGGUCGGUACAGAGGGUUGCCAACCCGCGAGGGGGAGCUAAUCCCACAAAGCCGAUCGUAGUCCGGAUCGCAGUCUGCAACUCGACUGCGUGAAGUCGGAAUCGCUAGUAAUCGUGGAUCAGCAUGUCACGGUGAAUACGUUCCCGGGUCUU
RNAcentral lists this ribosomal RNA (449 nucleotides) under uncultured Rhodocyclaceae bacterium. Its description in RNAcentral is "bacterial SSU rRNA". It matches the Rfam family "Bacterial small subunit ribosomal RNA", at positions 930 to 1382 of the family's 1533-position model. Lineage: Bacteria; Pseudomonadati; Pseudomonadota; Betaproteobacteria; Rhodocyclales; Rhodocyclaceae. The record is from RNAcentral.